GUGUGGACGCCAGUCUGCAUGGAGCCGGCCUUGAAAUACCACCCUUUAAUGUUUGAUGUUCUAACGUUGACCCGUGAUCCGGGUUGCGGACAGUGUCUGGUGGGUAGUUUGACUGGGGCGGUCUCCUCCUAAAGAGUAACGGAGGAGCACGAAGGUUGGCUAAUCCUGGUCGGACAUCAGGAGGUUAGUGCAAUGGCAUAAGCCAGCUUGACUGCGAGCGUGACGGCGCGAGCAGGUGCGAAAGCAGGUCAUAGUGAUCCGGUGGUUCUGAAUGGAAGGGCCAUCGCUCAACGGAUAAAAGGUACUCCGGGGAUAACAGGCUGAUACCGCCCAAGAGUUCAUAUCGACGGCGGUGUUUGGCACCUCGAUGUCGGCUCAUCACAUCCUGGGGCUGAAGUAGGUCCCAAGGGUAUGGCUGUUCGCCAUUUAAAGUGGUACGCGAGCUGGGUUUAGAACGUCGUGAGACAGUUCGGUCCCUAUCUGCCGUGGGCGCUGGAGAACUGAGGGGGGCUGCUCCUAGUACGAGAGGACCGGAGUGGACGCAUCACUGGUGUUCGGGUUGUCAUGCCAAUGGCACUGCCCGGUAGCUAAAUGCGGAAGAGAUAAGUGCUGAAAGCAUCUAAGCACGAAACUUGCCCCGAGAUGAGUUCUCCCUGACUCCUUGAGAGUCCUGAAGGAACGUUGAAGACGACGACGUUGAUAGGCCGGGUGUGUAAGCGCAGCGAUGCGUUGAGCUAACCGGUACUAAUGAACCGUGAGGCUUAACCUUACAACGCCGAAGCUGUU
Molecule: ribosomal RNA, 786 nt
Filed under: Escherichia coli
Lineage: Bacteria; Pseudomonadati; Pseudomonadota; Gammaproteobacteria; Enterobacterales; Enterobacteriaceae
Description: partial 23S ribosomal RNA
Rfam family: Bacterial large subunit ribosomal RNA
Source: RNAcentral